UACGAACCGUACAAACGUUAUUCGGAAUUACUGGGCUUAAAGGGUGCGUAGGCGGCCAAGUAAGUGAGGUGUGAAAUCCCUCGGCUCAACCGAGGAACUGCGCUUCAUACUGCUUGGCUUGAGGGAGACAGGGGUAAGCGGAACUGAUGGUGGAGCGGUGAAAUGCGUUGAUAUCAUCAGGAACACCGGUGGCGAAAGCGGCUUACCGGGUCUCUUCUGACGCUGAGGUACGAAAGCCAGGGGAGCAAACGGG
Molecule: ribosomal RNA, 253 nt
Filed under: uncultured bacterium
Lineage: Bacteria
Description: partial 16S ribosomal RNA
Rfam family: Bacterial small subunit ribosomal RNA
Source: RNAcentral